Molecule: non-coding RNA, 357 nt
Organism: Opitutaceae bacterium
Lineage: Bacteria; Pseudomonadati; Verrucomicrobiota; Opitutia; Opitutales; Opitutaceae
Rfam family: transfer-messenger RNA
About the family: Bacterial tmRNA, also known as 10Sa RNA or SsrA, is named for its dual tRNA and mRNA-like properties. Its role is to liberate the mRNA from a stalled ribosome.
Source: Rfam
GGGGGUGUUCUGGAUUCGACCCUUGGUUGGAGCACGCCGCUGCCGUUCGAGGAUGAAGGUUGGCCUCGUUAAUCAUCCUUCAAAACAAUAAUAGGCAACUACGAAGAGAUGCCCUUGGCCGCCUAAUAGCGCGGCCUCGUUUGCCCGGCGACACCUGCUAGCCGGAACAAGCGUCGACAGCAGGCAUAACGCAUGGAGCCGCCCGCGGUCCGAGCGUCGUACACUUCAUCCGGGGGAUAGCCUGUGCUUAAGCGCGUGAAGUCGCGUGACAGAGGCGAAACAAACACUUCACUACAACGGUAGACGCGGCGCGUGAAGGUCAGGGGCACGCGGGUUCAACUCCCGCCACCUCCACCA